Molecule: ribosomal RNA, 301 nt
Filed under: uncultured bacterium
Lineage: Bacteria
Description: partial 16S ribosomal RNA
Rfam family: Bacterial small subunit ribosomal RNA
Source: RNAcentral
CAGCAGCCGCGGUAAUACAGAGGAUGCAAGCGUUAUCCGGAAUGAUUGGGCGUAAAGCGUCUGUAGGUGGCUUUUCAAGUCCGCCGUCAAAUCCCAGGGCUCAACCCUGGACAGGCGGUGGAAACUACCAAGCUGGAGUACGGUAGAGGCAGAGAGAAUCUCCGGUGGAGCGGUGAAAUGCGUUGAGAUCGGAAAGAACACCAACGGCGAAAGCACUCUGCUGGGCCGACACUGACACUGAGAGACGAAAGCUAGGGGAGCAAAUGGGAUUAGAUACCCCCGUAGUCCCUGUCUCUUAUAC